This is a long non-coding RNA of Brienomyrus brachyistius, 563 nucleotides long. RefSeq lists it as uncharacterized. The transcript is spliced from 3 exons. Lineage: Eukaryota; Metazoa; Chordata; Actinopteri; Osteoglossiformes; Mormyridae. The record is from RefSeq and is a predicted model, not a curated record.
CAGGCUGAGCCUGUAUCACAGAGCCGAAUUUCUCUCGCCGGGUAACACGUAGGUUUGAAGGUACUCCAGCUCAAAUGGACUUUCACUUACAUUUGGCUCCAACUACCUAAAGUCCGACAAGCUUUCUUGCCAACCCAAAAGUCCAGCUUCGGGAUAAGGGAAGCUGUUCAAAGUGCUACACCUGGCUGAUAUCUGCAAACGAAAUGAGUGCUGUGGCAAUAAAGCAAAGCGGCAAGGUCCAGAAAGGAGCCCAGGCAGAAGGUCCAGGAAGGAGCCCAGGCAGAAGGUCCAGAAAGGAGCGCAGGCAGAAGGUCCAGAAAGGAGCCCAGGCAGAAGGUCCAGAAAGGAGCCCAGGCAGAAGGUCCAGAAAGGAGCCCAGGCAGAAGGUCCAGAAAGGAGCCCAGGCAGAAGGUCCAGAAAGGAGCUCAGGCAGAGGGUCCAGCUGGGCUUUGUUGAAUCGGCCUUUUUCUUUUUGUUACUGUAUUUACGUUCCCUUGAGCUUUCAGAGAAUUAAAUGGACAGUAAAUAAUGCUGAUGAAACGCUAUUUAUUUCCAAUAUGCAC